RNAcentral lists this ribosomal RNA (331 nucleotides) under uncultured Butyrivibrio sp. RNAcentral describes it as "partial 16S ribosomal RNA". The record is from RNAcentral. Lineage: Bacteria; Bacillati; Bacillota; Clostridia; Lachnospirales; Lachnospiraceae.
GGAGUUUGGGCCGUCUCUCAGUCCCAAUGUGGCCGUUCACCCUCUCAGGCCGGCUACCGAUCGUCGCUUUGGUGGGCUCUUACCCCGCCAACUGGCUAAUCGGACGCGGACCCAUCAUACACCGUAUUCGCUUUUCACUCGAGAGGAUGCCCCCUCGGGCGCUUAUGCGGUAUUAGCAGUCAUUUCUAACUGUUAUCCCCCUGUGUAUGGCAGGUUAUCCACGCGUUACUCACCCGUCCGCCACUAGGUUACAACAAGAUUUGACCGAAGUCUCCUCAGCGUUAUAACCCCGUUCGACUUGCAUGUGUUAGGCACGCCGCCAGCGUUCAUC